Molecule: unclassified non-coding RNA, 251 nt
Filed under: fungal sp.
Lineage: Eukaryota; Fungi
Description: partial internal transcribed spacer region
Rfam family: Eukaryotic small subunit ribosomal RNA (bases 1-46)
Source: RNAcentral
AAGUCGUAACAAGGUAACCGUAGGUGAACCUGCGGUUGGAUCAUUACUAAAUGAUGGUGCGAUUGGCUUUGGGUUUUCGUAAUCCAAAGUCCGUCCACUAAAUACCUCUGUGCACUGUUGAUAGUAUUUGGGUUUGCUAGAAAAGUCAAAUUUUCGAACCAUACCCGCACUUUAUAAACCCCUUUUAUUUUUGACUGACUUUUGUUUCUAUGAAUCAAAAACAACUUUUAACAACGGAUCUCUUGGCUCUC